GAGUUUGAUCAUGGCUCAGGAUGAACGCUGGCGGCGUGCGUAACACAUGCAAGUCGAACGAAGCAAUGAGACGGAAGUUUUCGGAUGGAAGAUUCAUUGACUGAGUGGCGGACGGGUGAGUAACGCGUGGGUAACCUGCCUCAUACAGGGGGAUAACAGUUGGGAACAGCUGCUAAUACCCCAUAAGCCUCCAGUUUCGCAUGGAACGGAAGGAAAAUAUUUAUAGGUAUGAGAUGGACCCGCGUCUGAUUAGCUAGUUGGUGAGGUAACGGCUCACCAAGGCAAUGAUCAGUAGCCGACUUGAGAGAGUGAUCGGCCACAUUGGGACUGAGACACGGCCCAAACUCCUACGGGAGGCAGCAGUGGGGAAUAUUGCACAAUGGGGGAAACCCUGAUGCAGCGACGCCGCGUGAGUGAAGAAGUAUUUCGGUAUGUAAAGCUCUAUCAGCAAGGAAGAUAAUGACGGUACUUGACUAAGAAGCCCCGGCUAACUACGUGCCAGCAGCCGCGGUAAUACGUAGGGGGCAAGCGUUAUCCGGAUUUACUGGGUGUAAAGGGAGCGUAGGUGGCAUGGUAAGUCAGAUGUGAAAGCCCAGGGCUCAACCCUGGGAUUGCAUUUGAAACUAUCAGGCUAGAGUGCAGGAGAGGUAAGUGGAAUUCCUAGUGUAGCGGUGAAAUGCGUAGAUAUUAGGAAGAACACCAGUGGCGAAGGCGGCUUACUGGACUGUCACUGACACUGAGGCUCGAAAGCGUGGGGAGCAAACAGGAUUAGAUACCCUGGUAGUCCACGCCGUAAACCAUGAAUACUAGGAGUCGGGGAGCAAAACUCCUCGGCGCCGCAGCAAACGCAUUAAGU
This 856-nucleotide ribosomal RNA is filed under the name uncultured bacterium. Its description in RNAcentral is "bacterial SSU rRNA". It matches the Rfam family "Bacterial small subunit ribosomal RNA", at positions 9 to 865 of the family's 1533-position model. The record is from RNAcentral.